UCUCCUGGGACCUUGUUAAAUGGAGACUCUGAUUCCAUGGUCUGGGCUGGGGCCUGAGGUUCUGCAUCUCUAACAAGUUCCCAGGGGAUG
This 90-nucleotide microRNA precursor is filed under the name Mustela putorius furo (domestic ferret). Its description in RNAcentral is "miRNA (ENSMPUG00000022251.1)". The record is from RNAcentral. Lineage: Eukaryota; Metazoa; Chordata; Mammalia; Carnivora; Mustelidae.